This 1176-nucleotide ribosomal RNA is filed under the name Drepane punctata (spotted sicklefish). RNAcentral's name for it is "partial 16S ribosomal RNA". It matches the Rfam family "Bacterial large subunit ribosomal RNA", at positions 597 to 2543 of the family's 2925-position model. The record is from RNAcentral. Lineage: Eukaryota; Metazoa; Chordata; Actinopteri; Ephippiformes; Drepaneidae.
ACUCGUACCUUUUGCAUCAUGAUUUAGCCAGCAACCUCCAAGCAAAGAGCACUUUAGUUUGGCCCCCCGAAACUAGGUGAGCUACUCCAAGACAACUUAUUAAUAGAGCAAACCCGUCUCUGUGGCAAAAGAGUGGGAAGAACUUCGAGUAGCGGUGACAGACCUAUCGAACCUAGUCAUAGCUGGUUGCCUGGUAACUGAAUAGGAGUUCAGCCUCUCAACUUCUCCCCAAAUUGAGAGAGUUAGUCAAAGGGGGUACAGCCCCUUUGACACAAGACACAACUUUACCAGGAGGGUAAAGAUCACAAUAACACCCCAAGGAACAAUGCUCCGGUGGGCUUAAAAGCAGCCACCCCCUCAGAAAGCGUUCAAGCUCUAGCAUUCGAUCCUGAUAGCCCUAUCUUAACCCCCUCACCCUACCAGGCCUUCCCAUGCAAACAUGGGAGUAAUAAUGCUAAUAUGAGUAAUAAGAGGAGCCCCUCUCCCCGCACAUGUGUAAAUCGAAAUGGACCAACCACCGAACUUUAACGGCCCCAAAACAAAGAGGGUAUUGGACAACAACCAGAAAACCACCCACCGUUAACCCUACACUGGUGUGCCCCCAGGGAAAGACAGAAGGAGAGAGAAGGAACUCGGCAAAUGAGCCUCGCCUGUUUACCAAAAACAUCGCCUCUUGCACAAAUAAGAGGUCCCGCCUGCCCUGUGACGAUAAGUUUAACGGCCGCGGUAUCCUGACCGUGCGAAGGUAGCGCAAUCACUUGUCUUUUAAAUGGAGACCUGUAUGAAUGGCAUAACGAGGGCUCGACUGUCUCCUCUCCCCAGUCAAUGAAAUUGAUCCUCCCGUGCAGAAGCGGGAAUACACACAUAAGACGAGAAGACCCUAUGGAGCUUUAGACACUAAAGCAGAUCAUGUCAAAACCCCCUAAACAAGGAACAAAACUAAUUGAGCUCUGCCCUAAUGUCUUCGGUUGGGGCGACCGCGAGGCACAAAAAACCCCCGCGUGGAUCAAGGACAUCCUUACAGCCCAGAGCCCCCGCUCUCACAAACAGAACUUCUGACCUACAAGAUCCGGCAAAGCCGAUCAACGGACCAAGUUACCCUAGGGAUAACAGCGCAAUCCCCUUUUAGAGCCCAUAUCGACAAGGGGGUUUACGACCUCGAUGUUGGAUCAGGAC